GUGGGUGUAGCUCAAGUGGUAGAGCACAUGCUUAGCAUGCACACGGCCCUGGGUUCGAGCCCCAGUACCUCG
RNAcentral lists this transfer RNA (72 nucleotides) under Camelus bactrianus (Bactrian camel). It matches the Rfam family "tRNA". From Rfam's summary of the family: Transfer RNA (tRNA) molecules are approximately 80 nucleotides in length. The record is from Rfam by way of RNAcentral. Lineage: Eukaryota; Metazoa; Chordata; Mammalia; Artiodactyla; Camelidae. RNAcentral also lists the same sequence under 2 other names.